Molecule: ribosomal RNA, 301 nt
Filed under: uncultured bacterium
Lineage: Bacteria
Description: partial 16S ribosomal RNA
Rfam family: Bacterial small subunit ribosomal RNA
Source: RNAcentral
CAGUAGCCGCGGUAAUACGGAGGGGGCUAGCGUUGUUCGGAAUUACUGGGCGUAAAGCGCACGUAGGCGGCUUUGUAAGUCAGAGGGAAAGCCCGGGGCUCAACCCCGGAAUUGCCUUUGAGACUGCAUCGCUUGAAUCCAGGAGAGGUGAGUGGAAUUCCGAGUGUAGAGGUGAAAUUCGUAGAUAUUCGGAAGAACACCAGUGGCGAAGGCGGCUCACUGGACUGGUAUUGACGCUGAGGUGCGAAAGCGUGGGGAGCAAACAGGAUUAGAUACCCGCGUAGUCCCUGUCUCUUAUACA